Long non-coding RNA from Pieris napi, 988 nucleotides. RefSeq lists it as uncharacterized. NCBI's taxonomy places the organism in Eukaryota, Metazoa, Arthropoda, Insecta, Lepidoptera, Pieridae. The transcript has 2 exons. The record is from RefSeq and is a predicted model, not a curated record.
UUCAAUUUAUUGUUAUUUAUGUAUUCAUUUAUUUUAUUAUUGCAAUAACUAGAAAUUUACGAGUAACCUUUAGAAAAUGUAUUAAUUAUUUAAAGAUGACAAUAAUUUUAUUACGUAGAACGGAUCGCAAUGUUUUGACAACAGCAACAGAGCACUUGUAUCAACUAAAACUAUCAACAAUUAAAAAUUUUAAACCACUUUUUCUCUUUUCUGUUUCUGUUUGUAUGAGCGCUUGGAAAUAUCAAUAUCGAAAGUGACAUGAUGGAGAGAGAGAGUUCUAUCUUCAAUAGAAAACAUUGAAAGGGUAGGAACUGAAGCCGAUAUGAAUCCACGAAUGCCUAAAGUGUUGUAUAUGUUCGGAACUAAUAAAACCAAAAUCCUUCCAUCCUGUACGGUGAGAAUGAAUUCAAAAGAAGGAACCGUAUUUUGAAACACACGGUAUUAAAUGUGAUCCUGACGCUGAUCAUUACAAACUUGCAACCUUAUAACAACAGAGGAUCGCCAAACCUACCGCAAUUGCAAAUACUUAUUGCAUUAAGGCAUAAAAAUGCAACUGGAUGUUUUCAGAUGGUGUGUGGUGAUCUGAACAGCAUAAGCCAAUCUACAGUCUGUUUAAUUAUAAAUAAAGUCUCUGCAGAGUUGAGUAAAUUACUUCCUAGAUUUGUAAAUUUAUAAUUAUUCUCAAAUAAGAACUAGGCAUAUUUUUUAAAGGUCUUUCGGAGUGUGAAAAAGGAAAUUUCCAUGUUUACAGCUAGGACUACAGUCAAAAUUGACAAAUACUAGUUAUAUAUAAUUAUAGCUUGUGCUGUAUUGCAUAAUAUAGGUAUACAGAGAGGCGAUGCUUAUGAUGAUGGUGAUCUUGCUGACAGCAGAAGUUGAGUAACACAGAAACAAUGAAAGAUCUCCUACAGGUCUAGCAUUCCGGCAAUCUGUGAUUGCACAAUUUAACUAGGUAAUUUGUUUGGUAAUAAAGAAUAUCAAAACAAAA